RNAcentral lists this ribosomal RNA (225 nucleotides) under Triticum aestivum (bread wheat). RNAcentral's name for it is "partial small subunit ribosomal RNA". Lineage: Eukaryota; Viridiplantae; Streptophyta; Magnoliopsida; Poales; Poaceae. The record is from RNAcentral.
AUGCAGCCGUUGCCGUCGGGGCCCCGAUUCCAGCCCCUCCUCGCACAGACAACCACGAACAAUCUGGGGCAAAAGAAGUCGGCAGCGGCGGCAAGCAAUCCUAUCAGCACAUGUGCUAGAUGGGAUAAAUUGGAGACCUGGCUGCCACCACCGCACCUACAGGACGCCUGCUUGGGAAUCUUAAAAACUCUAUGGAAGUCCAUUGCUACAGAUGGAUCCAAAUAA